CAGAUCUCUUCCUUUGCACUGCUAACAAUCAGAGUCCCAACUGGGACACACCUCAGACCUAUGAGUCCUACCAUGGACAGUAUCCUCCCCUACUGGGUGAUCUUUGGUCUCCUGGGAGCAGGACACAUGGCACCAGGGGUCAAGCAAACUCCCAGCCACAAGAUUACUGAAGUGGGACUGGCUGUGACUCUAAGUUGUGACCCCAUUUCUGGUCACCAGUACAUCUCUUGGUACCGACAGACUGCAGAAAAAGGAAUGGAGUUUAUGGUUUAUCUUAUUGACAAGAAUCCCACAGAAAUGGCAGACUUUUUCAUGGAUAGAUUCUCAGCUGAGAAAGUCAGAUCAGAAUUCAUUAUGAAGAUCCAGCCCGUGCAGCUGGAAGACUCGGCCGUGUAUCUCUGUGCCAGCAGUGAAGCCACAGCCUCACAUAGACAUAUCCUGUCCCUACAAAUUCUCAGUACCUCCCAGUCUCCCCAGGUUCUGAGCAGCCCUUCCUUCCUAUAG
Non-coding RNA from Cavia porcellus (domestic guinea pig), 504 nucleotides. NCBI's taxonomy places the organism in Eukaryota, Metazoa, Chordata, Mammalia, Rodentia, Caviidae. The record is from the annotation of a RefSeq genome assembly.